RNAcentral lists this ribosomal RNA (253 nucleotides) under uncultured bacterium. Its description in RNAcentral is "partial 16S ribosomal RNA". It matches the Rfam family "Bacterial small subunit ribosomal RNA", at positions 524 to 776 of the family's 1533-position model. The record is from RNAcentral.
UACGAAGGGGGCUAGCGUUGCUCGGAAUUACUGGGCGUAAAGCGCACGUAGGUGGUUUGUUAAGCCAGCUGUGAAAUCCCCGGGCUCAACCUGGGCACUGCAGUUGGAACUGGCAAGCUAGAGUAGGGUAGAGGGGUGUGGAAUUCCAGGUGUAGCGGUGAAAUGCGUAGAUAUCUGGAGGAACAUCAGUGGCGAAGGCGACACCCUGGACUCAUACUGACACUGAGGUGCGAAAGCGUGGGGAGCAAACAGG